GUGCACAUUUCAUUAACUGCUUUCUCUUAUGUAUGUGAGCAGUGUUAUUUCUUAUGUGCUAUACAAAUAGUGGAAGGUUAAUUAGUAGUAUAAUUAAAUAGGAAUGCUCCCAGUCUCUUUCAGACAAAC
Small nucleolar RNA from Manis pentadactyla (Chinese pangolin), 129 nucleotides. Lineage: Eukaryota; Metazoa; Chordata; Mammalia; Pholidota; Manidae. The record is from RefSeq and is a predicted model, not a curated record.